GACGAACGCUGGCGGCGUGCCUAAUACAUGCAAGUUGAGCGCUGAAGGUUGGUACUUGUACUAACUGUAUGUUCAGCGAACGUGUGAGUAACGCGUGGGGACUCUCCCUUUGCGCAGGGGACCACAUUUGGAAACGAAUGCUAAUACCGCAUAAAAACUUUAUACAUAAGUUUUAAGUUUGAAAUAUGCUAUUGCAUCUCUCAAAUAUACUCCCGCGUUGUAUUAGCUAGUUGGUGAGGUAAAGGCUCACAAAGGCGAUGAUACAUAGCCGACCUGAGAGGGUGAUCGGCCACACUGGGACUGAGACACGGCCCAAACUCCUACGGGAGGCAGCAGUAGGGAAUCUUCGGCAAUGGACGAAAGUCUGACCGAGCAACGCCGCGUGAGUGAAGAAGGUUUUCGGAUCGUAAAGCUCUGUUGGUAGAGAAGAACGGUGGUGAGAGUGGAAAGCUCACCAAGUGACGGUAACUAACCAGAAAGGGACGGCUAACUACGUG
Molecule: ribosomal RNA, 497 nt
Filed under: uncultured bacterium
Lineage: Bacteria
Description: partial 16S ribosomal RNA
Rfam family: Bacterial small subunit ribosomal RNA
Source: RNAcentral